Molecule: long non-coding RNA, 481 nt
Organism: Mustela lutreola (European mink)
Lineage: Eukaryota; Metazoa; Chordata; Mammalia; Carnivora; Mustelidae
Exons: 3
Source: RefSeq, a predicted model, not a curated record
AGAAAAGCUGUAUGAGGAUGUGGCAAGAAGGUGACCGUGUACAAGCCAGGAAGAGAGGUCUUCCCUGAAACCAACCCUGAUGGCGCCUUGAUCUUGGACUUCUGGCCUCUGGAAUGUUCCAGGCCCGGGAACUGCAUCGUGGCCAGAGGAGGAGUCCGAGCCUGGCCAGGCUGGGAGACAGGGCCACCGGGAGCCAGAAAGGAUCCUCCCACGUGAAGUCUGAAAGGAAGCAUCUUGCAGCUCCGUCUAAUUACAGGUCGGUAAAUAACCAACUUCCUGGGAGCAGGAGGACUGUCAAGUUCAGGAUCGAGGUGAGACACUCCCAACAAGAGGGCCCGUGGCUGUAGAAGUCACGGCCGGGGCGGGGAGCCGGGCGCAAACGCAGGGGACGAGGUGUCUGACUCACCCUAGAGUACAUGGGGUGGAUAAUCCCCAACAGUGAUUAAUAUAUACAUCAUCAAAAUUUAAAAGUGAAUAAAUG